UACGUAGGGUCCGAGCGUUGUUCGGAAUUACUGGGCGUAAAGAGCUCGUAGGCGGUUUGUCGCGUUGUUCGUGAAAACUCACAGCUCAACUGUGGGCGUGCGGGCGAUACGGGCAGACUUGAGUACUGCAGGGGAGACUGGAAUUCCUGGUGUAGCGGUGGAAUGCGCAGAUAUCAGGAGGAACACCGGUGGCGAAGGCGGGUCUCUGGGCAGUAACUGACGCUGAGGAGCGAAAGCGUGGGGAGCGAACAGG
Molecule: ribosomal RNA, 253 nt
Filed under: uncultured bacterium
Lineage: Bacteria
Description: partial 16S ribosomal RNA
Rfam family: Bacterial small subunit ribosomal RNA
Source: RNAcentral